RNAcentral lists this non-coding RNA (24 nucleotides) under Cricetulus griseus (Chinese hamster). Lineage: Eukaryota; Metazoa; Chordata; Mammalia; Rodentia; Cricetidae. The record is from RNAcentral.
UUCGGGCUCGCAGGAGCAGCGGCU